RNAcentral lists this ribosomal RNA (467 nucleotides) under uncultured bacterium. RNAcentral describes it as "partial 16S ribosomal RNA". It matches the Rfam family "Bacterial small subunit ribosomal RNA", at positions 28 to 507 of the family's 1533-position model. The record is from RNAcentral.
GACGAACGCUGGCGGCGUGCUUAACACAUGCAAGUCGAACGGAAAGGCCCUGCUUUUGUGGGGUGCUCGAGUGGCGAACGGGUGAGUAACACGUGAGUAACCUGCCCUUGACUUUGGGAUAACUUCAGGAAACUGGGGCUAAUACCGGAUAGGAGCUCCUGCUGCAUGGUGGGGGUUGGAAAGUUUCGGCGGUUGGGGAUGGACUCGCGGCUUACCAGCUUGUUGGUGGGGUAGUGGCUUACCAGGGCUUUGACGGGUAGCCGGCCUGGGAGGGGGACAGGCCCCAGAGGCCUACGGGUGGGGCCCGUACUCAUUCGGGCGCCAGGGGCGGGAACUUUUCCGCACUGGGCCGCGUCCGGGAUGAACAACGCCGGAUGGGGAAAGUCGGCUUUUGGGGUAGAACCCGUUUGUGCCUGACAAGGCGCGUGGUGACGGUAACUGGGUAAAAAGCCACGGCUAACUUCGUU